Molecule: ribosomal RNA, 429 nt
Filed under: Bacillota bacterium
Lineage: Bacteria; Bacillati; Bacillota
Description: Firmicutes bacterium partial 16S ribosomal RNA
Rfam family: Bacterial small subunit ribosomal RNA
Source: RNAcentral
UAGGGAAUCUUCGGCAAUGGACGUAAGUCUGACCGAGCAACGCCGCGUGAGUGAAGAAGGUUUUCGGAUCGUAAAGCUCUGUUGUUAGAGAAGAACGUUGGUAGGAGUGGAAAAUCUACCAAGUGACGGUAACUAACCAGAAAGGGACGGCUAACUACGUGCCAGCAGCCGCGGUAAUACGUAGGUCCCGAGCGUUGUCCGGAGUUAUUGGGCGUAAAGCGAGCGCAGGCGGUUCUUUAAGUCUGAAGUUAAAGGCAGUGGCUUAACCAUUGUACGCUUUGGAAACUGGAGGACUUGAGUGCAGAAGGGGAGAGUGGAAUUCCAUGUGUAACGGUGAAAUGCGUAGAUAUAUGGAGGAACACCGGUGGCGAAAGCGGCUCUCUGGUCUGUAACUGACGCUGAGGCUCGAAAGCGUGGGGAGCAAACAGG